Molecule: non-coding RNA, 71 nt
Organism: Bos taurus (domestic cattle)
Lineage: Eukaryota; Metazoa; Chordata; Mammalia; Artiodactyla; Bovidae
Source: Rfam
CCCUGGUGGCUCAAAUGGUAAAGUGUCUGCCUGCUACGCAGGAGACCUGGGUUCGAUCCCCGGAUCAGGAA